AGAACGCAGCGAAAUGCGAUACGUAGUGUGAAUUGCAGAAUUCCGCGAAUCAUUGAGUUUUUGAACGCAAGUUGCGCCCGAGGCUCGUCCGAGGGCAUUUCCGUUAGAGCGUCACC
RNAcentral lists this ribosomal RNA (116 nucleotides) under Plagiomnium integrum. RNAcentral's name for it is "partial 5.8S ribosomal RNA". It matches the Rfam family "5.8S ribosomal RNA", at positions 40 to 154 of the family's 154-position model. From Rfam's summary of the family: 5.8S ribosomal RNA (5.8S rRNA) is a component of the large subunit of the eukaryotic ribosome. It is transcribed by RNA polymerase I as part of the 45S precursor that also contains 18S and 28S rRNA. The record is from RNAcentral. Lineage: Eukaryota; Viridiplantae; Streptophyta; Bryopsida; Bryales; Mniaceae.